GACGAACGCUGGCGGCGUGCUUAACACAUGCAAGUCGAACGGAAAGGCCCUGCUCUUGUGGGGUGCUCGAGUGGCGAACGGGUGAGUAACACGUGAGUAACCUGCCCUUGACUUUGGGAUAACUUCAGGAAACUGGGGCUAAUACCGGAUAGGAGCUCCUGCUGCACGGUGGGGGUUGGAAAGUUUCGGCGGUUGGGGAUGGACUCGCGGCUUAUCAGCUUGUUGGUGGGGUAGUGGCUUACCAAGGCUUUGACGGGUAGCCGGCCUGAGAGGGUGACCGGCCACAUUGGGACUGAGAUACGGCCCAGACUCCUACGGGAGGCAGCAGUGGGGAAUAUUGCACAAUGGGCGGAAGCCUGAUGCAGCAACGCCGCGUGCGGGAUGGCGGCCUUCGGGUUGUAAACCGCUUUCGCCUGUGACGAAGCGUGAGUGACGGUAAUGGGUAAAGAAGCACCGGCUAACUACGUG
RNAcentral lists this ribosomal RNA (468 nucleotides) under uncultured bacterium. RNAcentral's name for it is "partial 16S ribosomal RNA". It matches the Rfam family "Bacterial small subunit ribosomal RNA", at positions 28 to 507 of the family's 1533-position model. The record is from RNAcentral.